UUAGGGCACUGGGAGGACGUGGAGGGAGAUUAACCGAUUCAGAUCUAUCGUUAACAUCUCCUACUGCGGGUGUCUCAGCAAUAUUUUCAUUAUCUUCGUCUAAACUAACCGCAUCUACUUCAUUUUCUUCUUCUAUACCAUAAUUUUCCUGAGCUUCUACAUAAUCCAUAUCGUGAGCACCUACACCUAUUUCUUCCUCAAAAGGUGUACCAAGCAGUACCGGAG
Molecule: long non-coding RNA, 225 nt
Filed under: Capsicum annuum
Lineage: Eukaryota; Viridiplantae; Streptophyta; Magnoliopsida; Solanales; Solanaceae
Description: long non-coding RNA (CANN_LNC002324)
Source: RNAcentral